AUACGGAAGGUCCGGGCGUUAUCCGGAUUUAUUGGGUUUAAGGGGAGCGCAGGCGGAGAUGCAAGCGUGACGUCAAAUUUCGGGGCUCAACCCCGUCUCGCGUCGCGAACUGCGUCCCUUGGUUGCGGGAAGGGGAGGCGGAACUCGGGGUGUAGCGGUGCAAUGCAUAGAUAUCACGAAGAACUCCGAUCGCGAAGGCAGCCUUCCGGCCCGUCAACGACGCUCAUGCUCGAAGGUGCGGGUAUCAAACAGGAUUAGAUACCCUGGUAGUCCGCACAGUAAACGAUGGACACCCGCGGUUUGGCCUGUAUGGCUGAGCCGCCAAGCGAAAGCGUUAAGUGUCCCACCUGGGGAGUACGCCGGCAACGGUGAAACUCAAAUGAAUUGGCGGGG
RNAcentral lists this ribosomal RNA (393 nucleotides) under uncultured bacterium. RNAcentral describes it as "partial 16S ribosomal RNA". It matches the Rfam family "Bacterial small subunit ribosomal RNA", at positions 523 to 918 of the family's 1533-position model. The record is from RNAcentral.